This 77-nucleotide transfer RNA is filed under the name Phenylobacterium sp. Its description in RNAcentral is "tRNA-Arg". It matches the Rfam family "tRNA". From Rfam's summary of the family: Transfer RNA (tRNA) molecules are approximately 80 nucleotides in length. Their secondary structure includes four short double-helical elements and three loops (D, anti-codon, and T loops). Lineage: Bacteria; Pseudomonadati; Pseudomonadota; Alphaproteobacteria; Caulobacterales; Caulobacteraceae. The record is from RNAcentral.
GGGCCCGUAGCUCAACUGGAUAGAGCAUCGACCUUCUAAGUCGGCGGUUGCAGGUUCGAUUCCUGCCGGGCUCGCCA